Molecule: ribosomal RNA, 503 nt
Filed under: uncultured bacterium
Lineage: Bacteria
Description: bacterial SSU rRNA
Rfam family: Bacterial small subunit ribosomal RNA
Source: RNAcentral
AGCCUGACGCAGCAACGCCGCGUGGGGGAUGAAGGUUCUCGGAUUGUAAACCCCUUUCGAUCGGAACGAAUCUCCUCUUGGUAAAUAAUCAGGAGGAUCGACGGUACCGGGAGAAGAAGCCACGGCUAACUCUGUGCCAGCAGCCGCGGUAAGACAGAGGUGGCGAGCGUUGUUCGGAUUUAUUGGGCGUAAAGCGAACGCAGGUGGUUUGGUAAGUCAGAGGUGAAAGACCACAGCUUAACUGUGGCACUGCCUUUGAUACUGCCUUUCUAGAGUGCAUGAGGGGGAAGCGGAAUUCCGAGUGUAGAGGUGAAAUUCGUAGAUAUUCGGAGGAACACCGGUGGCGAAGGCGGCUUCCUGGCAUGUAACUGACACUCAUGUUCGAAAGCGUGGGUAGCAAACAGGAUUAGAUACCCUGGUAGUCCACGCCCUAAACGAUGGGCACUAGGUGUGGGAGGUAUCGACCCCUUCCGUGCCGCAGCUAACGCAUUAAGUGCCCCGCC